This 460-nucleotide ribosomal RNA is filed under the name uncultured bacterium. Its description in RNAcentral is "partial 16S ribosomal RNA". It matches the Rfam family "Bacterial small subunit ribosomal RNA", at positions 338 to 795 of the family's 1533-position model. The record is from RNAcentral.
CCUACGGGAGGCAGCAGUGAGGAAUAUUGGUCAAUGGACGAGAGUCUGAACCAGCCAAGUAGCGUGAAGGAUGACUGCCCUAUGGGUUGUAAACUUCUUUUAUAAAGGAAUAAAACGAGGCACGUGUGCCUUUUUGCAUGUACUUUAUGAAUAAGGAUCGGAUAACUCCGUGCCAGCAGCCGCGGUAAUACGGAGGAUCCGAGCGUUAUCCGGAUUUCUUGGGUUUAAAGGGAGCGUAGAUGGGUUGUUAAGUCAGUUGUGAAAGUUUGCGGCUCAACCGUAAAAUUGCAAUUGAUACUGGCAGUCUUGAGUACAGUUGAGGUAAGCGGAAUUCGUGGUGUAGCGGUGAAAUGCUUAGAUAUCACGAAGAACCCCGAUUGCGAAGGCAGCUUACUAAACUGUGACUGACAUUGAUGCUCGAAAGUGUGGGUAUCAAACAGGAUUAGAUACCCGUGUAGUC